GGGUUGUGAGGUUAAGCGACUAAGCGUACACGGUGGAUGCCCUGGCAGUCAGAGGCGAUGAAGGACGUGCUAAUCUGCGAUAAGCGUCGGUAAGGUGAUAUGAACCGUUAUAACCGGCGAUUUCCGAAUGGGGAAACCCAGUGUGAUUCGUCACACUAUCAUUAACUGAAUCCAUAGGUUAAUGAGGCGAACCGGGGGAACUGAAACAUCUAAGUACCCCGAGGAAAAGAAAUCAACCGAGAUUCCCCCAGUAGCGGCGAGCGAACGGGGAGGAGCCCAGAGCCUGAAUCAGUGUGUGUGUUAGUGGAAGCGUCUGGAAAGGCGCGCGAUACAGGGUGACAGCCCCGUACACAAAAAUGCACAUGCUGUGAGCUCGAUGAGUAGGGCGGGACACGUGGUAUCCUGUCUGAAUAUGGGGGGACCAUCCUCCAAGGCUAAAUACUCCUGACUGACCGAUAGUGAACCAGUACCGUGAGGGAAAGGCGAAAAGAACCCCGGCGAGGGGAGUGAAAAAGAACCUGAAACCGUGUACGUACAAGCAGUGGGAGCACGCUUAGGCGUGUGACUGCGUACCUUUUGUAUAAUGGGUCAGCGACUUAUAUUCUGUAGCAAGGUUAACCGAAUAGGGGAGCCGAAGGGAAACCGAGUCUUAACUGGGCGUUAAGUUGCAGGGUAUAGACCCGAAACCCGGUGAUCUAGCCAUGGGCAGGUUGAAGGUUGGGUAACACUAACUGGAGGACCGAACCGACUAAUGUUGAAAAAUUAGCGGAUGACUUGUGGCUGGGGGUGAAAGGCCAAUCAAACCGGGAGAUAGCUGGUUCUCCCCGAAAGCUAUUUAGGUAGCGCCUCGUGAAUUCAUCUCCGGGGGUAGAGCACUGUUUCGGCAAGGGGGUCAUCCCGACUUACCAACCCGAUGCAAACUGCGAAUACCGGAGAAUGUUAUCACGGGAGACACACGGCGGGUGCUAACGUCCGUCGUGAAGAGGGAAACAACCCAGACCGCCAGCUAAGGUCCCAAAGUCAUGGUUAAGUGGGAAACGAUGUGGGAAGGCCCAGACAGCCAGGAUGUUGGCUUAGAAGCAGCCAUCAUUUAAAGAAAGCGUAAUAGCUCACUGGUCGAGUCGGCCUGCGCGGAAGAUGUAACGGGGCUAAACCAUGCACCGAAGCUGCGGCAGCGACGCUUAUGCGUUGUUGGGUAGGGGAGCGUUCUGUAAGCCUGUGAAGGUGUACUGUGAGGUAUGCUGGAGGUAUCAGAAGUGCGAAUGCUGACAUAAGUAACGAUAAAGCGGGUGAAAAGCCCGCUCGCCGGAAGACCAAGGGUUCCUGUCCAACGUUAAUCGGGGCAGGGUGAGUCGACCCCUAAGGCGAGGCCGAAAGGCGUAGUCGAUGGGAAACAGGUUAAUAUUCCUGUACUUGGUGUUACUGCGAAGGGGGGACGGAGAAGGCUAUGUUGGCCGGGCGACGGUUGUCCCGGUUUAAGCGUGUAGGCUGGUUUUCCAGGCAAAUCCGGAAAAUCAAGGCUGAGGCGUGAUGACGAGGCACUACGGUGCUGAAGCAACAAAUGCCCUGCUUCCAGGAAAAGCCUCUAAGCAUCAGGUAACAUCAAAUCGUACCCCAAACCGACACAGGUGGUCAGGUAGAGAAUACCAAGGCGCUUGAGAGAACUCGGGUGAAGGAACUAGGCAAAAUGGUGCCGUAACUUCGGGAGAAGGCACGCUGAUAUGUAGGUGAAGUCCCUCGCGGAUGGAGCUGAAAUCAGUCGAAGAUACCAGCUGGCUGCAACUGUUUAUUAAAAACACAGCACUGUGCAAACACGAAAGUGGACGUAUACGGUGUGACGCCUGCCCGGUGCCGGAAGGUUAAUUGAUGGGGUUAGCGCAAGCGAAGCUCUUGAUCGAAGCCCCGGUAAACGGCGGCCGUAACUAUAACGGUCCUAAGGUAGCGAAAUUCCUUGUCGGGUAAGUUCCGACCUGCACGAAUGGCGUAAUGAUGGCCAGGCUGUCUCCACCCGAGACUCAGUGAAAUUGAACUCGCUGUGAAGAUGCAGUGUACCCGCGGCAAGACGGAAAGACCCCGUGAACCUUUACUAUAGCUUGACACUGAACAUUGAGCCUUGAUGUGUAGGAUAGGUGGGAGGCUUUGAAGUGUGGACGCCAGUCUGCAUGGAGCCGACCUUGAAAUACCACCCUUUAAUGUUUGAUGUUCUAACGUUGACCCGUGAUCCGGGUUGCGGACAGUGUCUGGUGGGUAGUUUGACUGGGGCGGUCUCCUCCUAAAGAGUAACGGAGGAGCACGAAGGUUGGCUAAUCCUGGUCGGACAUCAGGAGGUUAGUGCAAUGGCAUAAGCCAGCUUGACUGCGAGCGUGACGGCGCGAGCAGGUGCGAAAGCAGGUCAUAGUGAUCCGGUGGUUCUGAAUGGAAGGGCCAUCGCUCAACGGAUAAAAGGUACUCCGGGGAUAACAGGCUGAUACCGCCCAAGAGUUCAUAUCGACGGCGGUGUUUGGCACCUCGAUGUCGGCUCAUCACAUCCUGGGGCUGAAGUAGGUCCCAAGGGUAUGGCUGUUCGCCAUUUAAAGUGGUACGCGAGCUGGGUUUAGAACGUCGUGAGACAGUUCGGUCCCUAUCUGCCGUGGGCGCUGGAGAAUUGAGGGGGGCUGCUCCUAGUACGAGAGGACCGGAGUGGACGCAUCACUGGUGUUCGGGUUGUCAUGCCAAUGGCACUGCCCGGUAGCUAAAUGCGGAAGAGAUAAGUGCUGAAAGCAUCUAAGCACGAAACUUGCCCCGAGAUGAGUUCUCCCUGACUCCUUGAGAGUCCUGAAGGAACGUUGAAGACGACGACGUUGAUAGGCCGGGUGUGUAAGCGCAGCGAUGCGUUGAGCUAACCGGUACUAAUGAACCGUGAGGCUUAACCUUACAACGCCGAAG
This 2925-nucleotide ribosomal RNA is filed under the name Escherichia coli. Its description in RNAcentral is "partial 23S ribosomal RNA". It matches the Rfam family "Bacterial large subunit ribosomal RNA". The record is from RNAcentral. Lineage: Bacteria; Pseudomonadati; Pseudomonadota; Gammaproteobacteria; Enterobacterales; Enterobacteriaceae.